RNAcentral lists this transfer RNA (76 nucleotides) under Desulfovibrio sp. RNAcentral describes it as "tRNA-Thr". It matches the Rfam family "tRNA". From Rfam's summary of the family: Transfer RNA (tRNA) molecules are approximately 80 nucleotides in length. The record is from RNAcentral. Lineage: Bacteria; Pseudomonadati; Thermodesulfobacteriota; Desulfovibrionia; Desulfovibrionales; Desulfovibrionaceae.
GCCAGCGUAGCUCACCCGGCAGAGCAGCUGAUUCGUAAUCAGCAGGUACGGGGUUCGAUUCCCCGCGCUGGCUCCA